AGUGAACGCUGGCGGCGUGCUUAACACAUGCAAGUCGAACGAGAACGGAAUAUAGCUUGCUAUAUUUGUCAGCUAAGUGGCGCACGGGUGAGUAAUGUAUAGAUAACCUGCCCUUAAGAAAGGAAUAACAGUUGGAAACGACUGCUAAUGCCCUAUAUGCCUUUAAUACAUAAGUAUGCAAGGGAAACGCUUUAGUGCUUAAGGAUGGGUCUGUAUGGUAUCAGCUUGUUGGUGAGGUAAUGGCUCACCAAGGCUAUGACGCCUAACUGGUUUGAGAGGAUGAUCAGUCACACUGGAACGGAGACACGGUCCAGACUCCUACGAGAGGCAGCAGUGGGGAAUAUUGCACAAUGGACGAAAGUCUGAUGCAGCAACGCCGCGUGGAGGAUGACACAUUUCGGUGCGUAAACUCCUUUUAUAUAGGAAGAUAAUGACGGUACUAUAUGAAUAAGCACCGGCUAACUCCAUGCCAGCAGCCGCCGUAA
Molecule: ribosomal RNA, 485 nt
Filed under: uncultured bacterium
Lineage: Bacteria
Description: partial 16S ribosomal RNA
Rfam family: Bacterial small subunit ribosomal RNA
Source: RNAcentral